RNAcentral lists this ribosomal RNA (608 nucleotides) under Meloidogyne naasi. RNAcentral's name for it is "eukaryotic LSU rRNA". The stretch from base 279 to 432 matches the Rfam family "5.8S ribosomal RNA". The record is from RNAcentral. Lineage: Eukaryota; Metazoa; Nematoda; Chromadorea; Rhabditida; Meloidogynidae.
GUUUCCGUAGGUGAACCUGCUGCUGGAUCAUUACUUUUAUUGUAAUGCUUUACAUUUGAAUGUUCGCAUCAACUUUUGUGUUGAUGUGUAACGGCUGCCGCUGGUGUCUAGGUGCUGCUGAUUCAGCUGUGAGCGUCCGUGGCUGAAUAUGAGGUAACAUGUUAGGAUUUUUUUCUCUUUAUGGAGAAUAAUCGUAAGACUUAAUAAGCCUCUUAAGUGAGGACGCCAGCAACUAUUUUUUUUAAAUAAAUUUUUUUAUUUUUCAAAUGAAAAUAAAUUAACCUUACCGGUGGAUCACUCGGUUCGUGGAUCGAUGAAGAACGCAGCUAACUGCGAUAAUUUAUGCGAACUGCAGAAACCUUGAGCAUAAAAGUUUUGAACGCGUAUUGCGGCAUUGGGGUCAAACCCUUUGGCACGUCUGGUUCAGGGUCAUUUUCUUACAAAGCGAAAGCUUUUAUUUUUAUAAUGUCUCUCUCUUUGACUUUAUAAAUGAAAAUGAAUGAGAAAAUAUAUUUUUUGGUUUACUUGAAUAAUAAUAUCAAUAAAUAUUAGUAUAAUAAUAUAUUGACCUGAACUCAGUCGAGAUCACCCGCUGAACUUAAGCAUAU